RNAcentral lists this ribosomal RNA (144 nucleotides) under uncultured bacterium. RNAcentral's name for it is "partial 16S ribosomal RNA". It matches the Rfam family "Bacterial small subunit ribosomal RNA", at positions 386 to 521 of the family's 1533-position model. The record is from RNAcentral.
ACCGAGCAACGCCGCGUGAGUGAAGAAGGUUUUCGGAUCGUAAAGCUCUGUUGUAAGUCAAGAACGGGUGUGAGAGUGGAAAGUUCACACUGUGACGGUAGCUUACCAGAAAGGGACGGCUAACUACGUGCCAGCAGCCGCGGU